CAGGAAUGGAAGAGAGGUGUGAUGAAUUCAAAGAAACAAGAGGAAACCCAUGUCGACACCAGGAAAACAUGCACAGAAACUCUGCACAGACAGCAACCCGAGUUCAGGAUCGAACCCAGAAACCUGGAAUUACAGCCUUUCUUUAGGUCUGUGCAGAAAGAAAGCUAUUUACAGAAAAGAGCUCCAAGCUCAUAAAGGACAGUGUAAACAUCACUGCGUGCCAUUCUAAGAAAUCUUUCAGAUGGUGGUACUCAUGGUUGGCCACCUGAUCUUGUUGAUGGGAGAAGAUGGAAAAUUCUCG
Long non-coding RNA from Ictalurus punctatus (channel catfish), 301 nucleotides. Lineage: Eukaryota; Metazoa; Chordata; Actinopteri; Siluriformes; Ictaluridae. The record is from Ensembl.